GGCAGGAAGGCGCAGGGUGCGCGUUGGGUUCUGUUAGAGUGGCUUGACAUAAGCAACCCGAAGGGCCUCGUUCGAUUCGGGGUCCUGCCA
Molecule: non-coding RNA, 90 nt
Organism: Mycena rebaudengoi
Lineage: Eukaryota; Fungi; Basidiomycota; Agaricomycetes; Agaricales; Mycenaceae
Source: the annotation of a GenBank genome assembly